CCUUAGUUACUGGGAUAGCCCGAGGAAACUCGGAUUAAUACCGGAUAAUCUUAUUACAUCACAUGAUAUUUUAAGUAAAGGUCAGCCGAACUAAGAUGAGCUCGCGUUCUAUCAGCUUGUUGGUGGGGUAAAAGCCUACCAAGGCUACGACGGAUAGCUGGUCUGAGAGGACGAUCAGCCACACUGGGACUGAGACACGGCCCAGACUCCUACGGGAGGCUGCAGCAGGGAAUAUUGCGCAAUGAGCGAAAGCUUGACGCAGCGACACCGCGUGUGGGAUGACGGUUCUAGGAUUGUAAACCACUUUCAGGAGGGAAGAAAAUGACGGUACCUCCACAAGAAGCCCCGGCCAACUACGUGCCAGCAGCCGCGGUAAUACGUAGGGGGCGAGCGUUGUCCGGAUUUAUUGGGCGUAAAGAGCUCGUAGGCGGUUCAACAAGUCGGUCGUGAAAGUUCAGGGCUUAACCCUGAAAUGUCGAUCGAUACUGUUGUGACUAGGAUAUGGUAGAGGUGAGUGGAAUUCCGAGUGUAGCGGUGAAAUGCGUAGAUAUUCGGAGGAACACCAAUAGCGAAGGCAGCUCACUGGACCACUAUCGACGCUGAGGAGCGAAAGCUAGGGGAGCAAACAGGAUUAGAUACCCUGGUAGUCCUAGCUGUAAACGAUGGAUACUAGAUGUAGGAAUUGGAUUGACGAUUUCUGUAUCGUAGCUAACGCGUUAAGUAUCCCGC
This 729-nucleotide ribosomal RNA is filed under the name uncultured bacterium. RNAcentral describes it as "bacterial SSU rRNA". It matches the Rfam family "Bacterial small subunit ribosomal RNA", at positions 129 to 872 of the family's 1533-position model. The record is from RNAcentral.